CCGGGCGCCGCACAAGGGCUCGGUGGACAUAGAGAGCGUCGGCUCUCAUUACCGACGCUUCUCAAGUCCAGAUUGCUCACAGGAGGAUUUGGAAAUGAGAA
This 101-nucleotide small RNA is filed under the name Croceibacterium atlanticum. Its description in RNAcentral is "Altererythrobacter atlanticus Repression of heat shock gene expression (ROSE) element". It matches the Rfam family "Repression of heat shock gene expression (ROSE) element". From Rfam's summary of the family: This family represents a 5' UTR cis-regulatory element found in heat shock mRNAs and is known as the ROSE (repression of heat shock gene expression) element. The ROSE element is a negative regulator of heat shock gene expression. The secondary structure is thought to be regulated by temperature. The record is from Rfam by way of RNAcentral. Lineage: Bacteria; Pseudomonadati; Pseudomonadota; Alphaproteobacteria; Sphingomonadales; Erythrobacteraceae. RNAcentral also lists the same sequence under 1 other name.